UGCAGUCGAGCGGAACGAGUUAUCUGAACCUUCGGGGAACGAUAACGGCGUCGAGCGGCGGACGGGUGAGUAAUGCCUAGGAAAUUGCCCUGAUGUGGGGGAUAACCAUUGGAAACGAUGGCUAAUACCGCAUAAUACCUACGGGUCAAAGAGGGGGACCUUCGGGCCUCUCGCGUCAGGAUAUGCCUAGGUGGGAUUAGCUAGUUGGUGAGGUAAUGGCUCACCAAGGCGACGAUCCCUAGCUGGUCUGAGAGGAUGAUCAGCCACACUGGAACUGAGACACGGUCCAGACUCCUACGGGAGGCAGCAGUGGGGAAUAUUGCACAAUGGGCGCAAGCCUGAUGCAGCCAUGCCGCGUGUGUGAAGAAGGCCUUCGGGUUGUAAAGCACUUUCAGUCGUGAGGAAGGUAGUGUAGUUAAUAGCUGCAUUAUUUGACGUUAGCGACAGAAGAAGCACCGGCUAACUCCGUGCCAGCAGCCGCGGUAAUACGGAGGGUGCGAGCGUUAAUCGGAAUUACUGGGCGUAAAGCGCAUGCAGGUGGUUUGUUAAGUCAGAUGUGAAAGCCCGGGGCUCAACCUCGGAAUAGCAUUUGAAACUGGCAGACUAGAGUACUGUAGAGGGGGGUAGAAUUUCAGGUGUAGCGGUGAAAUGCGUAGAGAUCUGAAGGAAUACCGGUGGCGAA
This 682-nucleotide ribosomal RNA is filed under the name uncultured Vibrio sp. Its description in RNAcentral is "bacterial SSU rRNA". It matches the Rfam family "Bacterial small subunit ribosomal RNA", at positions 56 to 719 of the family's 1533-position model. Lineage: Bacteria; Pseudomonadati; Pseudomonadota; Gammaproteobacteria; Vibrionales; Vibrionaceae. The record is from RNAcentral.